Molecule: unclassified non-coding RNA, 397 nt
Filed under: soil metagenome
Description: partial contains 5.8S ribosomal RNA, internal transcribed spacer 2, and large subunit ribosomal RNA
Rfam family: 5.8S ribosomal RNA (bases 1-120)
Source: RNAcentral
GAUGAAGAACGCAGCGAAAUGCGAUAAGUAAUGUGAAUUGCAGAAUUCAGUGAAUCAUCGAAUCUUUGAACGCACCUUGCGCUCCUUGGUAUUCCGAGGAGCAUGCCUGUUUGAGUGUCAUUUAAUUCUCAACCCCUUCCAGCUUUGUCUGGUUUGGUGGCUUGGAUGUGGGGGGAAAAUUUGCGGGCCUUCUUUAUAGAGGUCGGCUCCCCUGAAAUGCAUUAGCGGAACCGUUUGCGGGGUCCGUCACUGGUGUGAUAAUUAUCUACGCCAAAGACGACCGCUCUCAGUAGCUCUGCUUCUAAUAGUCCCUUAUGUCGGACAACAAUACAUGAAUACUUGACCUCAAAUCAGGUAGGACUACCCGCUGAACUUAAGCAUAUCAAUAAGCGGAGGA